CUCUGCCUGUUCUCUACUUUCAAGCUUUCUGGAUGGGGCAGGGAUCCCCAGCAAACUGCAGAGCAGGGCAGAACCCUCUGCCUUUUUUCCCGAGAUCGGACAGAACAGAUCUGUCGAUCCCGGAAACAGGACGGGACCUAGGGUGGGUCUGGUGUGCCAUAAACUUGACCUGUGUUUGUGGAGUCAGGUAUCCUGACACAUCCUUAAAGCACAGACUCAAAUGGCGUACAAUUCUAUGCCUGCAAAUACAGCACUUGCACUGACAUGUCUCACUGCUUCGGUACGUCGUGAAAUAGAAGCGAAAUGAAAGGCAGCCUUGAGCGCCCGCUCCCUAAGCUCUGCUCCGCUCCGCUUUUAGGAGCGCACGAUGGGUUUGGAGUCCGGAGCUUUGCGGGAGCCCUGAGACGGGAGUGGAAGAGGGAAAGGGCUCUCCCUCCUCCGUACCCACAGAAGAGCUGCGUGCCUACAGUCCUUCCGGCAGCCCCGAUGGCAGCGCUGCAGGGAAGAGUCCUGAGCCAGCACCCGCCUCUGGUUGAUACAGAUGAACG
Long non-coding RNA from Tympanuchus pallidicinctus (lesser prairie-chicken), 548 nucleotides. RefSeq lists it as uncharacterized. The record is from RefSeq and is a predicted model, not a curated record. The transcript is spliced from 3 exons. Lineage: Eukaryota; Metazoa; Chordata; Aves; Galliformes; Phasianidae.